Long non-coding RNA from Cryptomeria japonica (Japanese cedar), 1626 nucleotides. RefSeq lists it as uncharacterized. The transcript is spliced from 7 exons. NCBI's taxonomy places the organism in Eukaryota, Viridiplantae, Streptophyta, Pinopsida, Cupressales, Cupressaceae. The record is from RefSeq and is a predicted model, not a curated record.
UUCACAGAAUGGAUGAGUUUGAGAUAGAUGAGCUAUUAGGUCUAGCACCACCUCCACCUCCACCUCCACUUCCACCCGAUCAGUUGAGGCAGACCAUUAGGAGGAAUAUUGAUUCUUUGAUUAGAGAUAUCCAUACCAUUAGACGUGAGCCUCAUCCACCUCUGCAGCCAUUACGCCUUGCAGAUAGUAUGCAAGGGAUUGUACAGUUUGUACAGGCUUUAGAUAGUGAGCUGGAUAGCUAUCGUAGUUGGCAGGAGGGAUUGCGUGCAUUUUACGCUGAUGGCCUAACAUACAAACAAGUCAAUGAAUUAAAAAUAACAAAAAUGGAUUUGAAACAAUAUUUUGUGAACCCUAAGACGAGAGAAGAGAUAGAUCCGAAGAAGCCACGAAUCUCAAUUCAAUGGUGUAGGCACCCAUGCAUAGCUAGACACUCCACACUCCAAUCAUGAGUUCUCGAUGUAUUUUUUGAAAAAAAUAUGGGCCGAAUUUGAAUUGGGUAAAAAGCCCAAUUACUUUGAUAUUAGAUCAUUUCAGAGGGUCGGGAGAGGCAUGCCCUAGGAUAGGUCGGGGGCCAAAUUGAGCAACAGAGUCAGAAACCGUGUGCGCGAUGAUCCCUUGGUUCCUCUUCCUGCACCAGUUGUUCCAGCACCUGCCCAUCAUCGAGCAGUGGAUUCUACUCUUGGUUCAUUGAGUGCCUUGUUGGGCAAUUUGGUACAACAGUUGCGCGAGGUGAGGGCUGCCCCCAGCUUAGCACAUGUUUGCACGAGCUGCGAGAAUGUAUGUACGGGUCCACAGAGUGAGGCUACCCCUGGAGGAGAUGGUGAUUUUGAUGAUGCUGAUGCUGCCCAUGGUGGUUAUGAUGAUGUCCAGGGGGCUGCACAUGCUGAUGUCGUCUCUUCAUAUGUUGAUCUCGUGUGGGCAGACGAUGAUCAUCUUAUAGAGAGGGUGGAUCAUACCAUGUCAUUGAGGAACUGACACUGUGUUACCUCGAUACCUAGAGAUGUUGGUGCCCCAUUUACAGGUGCUUCGUGUAGCACCGAGGUGGGUAGUUCUUCACGUGACCCGUCGACCGCUGAGGCUCAACCUCAUAUACCACUAGCUUCUGGAUUGUUUGAUGGUGCAUCACAUGUACGCCUUCACCCAUCAGUUACUUUGCCUGCACAUGACACACCAUAUGUCGAUACCACUACCAGUAUUGGUAUGGCUAUGGGAUUGAGCCAGAUGCAACCAUCGACAUUGUCAUUUGUGGACUUGACUACAACCACUUUUCUUGUUCAUGAUAGUGGACCUCCAUGUACCAGUGAGGGCAUUGUAGAGCAUGGUCGUAUGGAGGGUGGAGACACCGAUACUGCACACACACAUGAUGGUGCAUCUCAGGACCAUGUGCAACAUGAUGAUUCAUCUCAGCCACCUUCACGUGGAGUGAAGAGGACUACAGAUGAGAUGCACGCGAGUUCUUAGAUUAUAUAUUUUAGAUCAUGUCAUGUUAUUGUAUUAUGGACUGUUUAUGAUGACACUUGUUAUGUUAUCCCGGGACUUGUUAUUAUGUGAUUAUAUAUAGGACUUCUUGUUAUUUGAUUAUAUAUAGGACUUUUUAUUACGUCAUUUCGUUGCUAUUAUGAUAUA